Molecule: unclassified non-coding RNA, 375 nt
Filed under: soil metagenome
Description: partial contains 5.8S ribosomal RNA, internal transcribed spacer 2, and large subunit ribosomal RNA
Rfam family: 5.8S ribosomal RNA (bases 1-120)
Source: RNAcentral
GAUGAAGAACGUAGCGAAAUGCGAUAAGUAAUGUGAAUUGCAGAAUUCAGUGAACCAUCGAAUCUUUGAACGCACAUUGCGCCCGGCAGUAAUCUGCCGGGCAUGCCUGUCCGAGCGUCAUUUCUCCCCUCGAGCGCAGCUUUCCCCCCCGGGGGAGGGCCGCGCCCGGUGUUGGGGCGCUACGGAGGAGCCCAGCGCUCCCCCGUAGGCCCCGAAAUGUAGUGGCGGUCCCGCCGCGGCGCCCCCUGCGUAGUAGUUUUACAACUCGCAUCGGGUCCCGGCGGAGGCCAGCCGUCAAACCCCCCAACUUCAAUAGUUUGACCUCGGAUCUGGUAGGGUUACCCGCUGAACUUAAGCAUAUCAAUAAGCGGAGGA